GCCGCAGUUUCCUGUGCUAAGGUAGCGCAAUAACUUGCCUUCUAAUUAAAGGAUCGUAUGAAAGGACACAUGACUUUCUUAUUUUCUCAUAUAUUUAAAAUAAAUUUAACCUACAAGUAAAAAGACUUGUAUUAACAAGAAAGACGACAAGACCCUAUAGAACUUCACUAUUGUUAAACUGGGGUGGUCAACAACAAAAGCUUAUCUUCCCGAACCACACAAAGACCUGAAACUUUCAACAAAAGAACAAGUUACCUUAGGGAUAACAGAGUAAUUCCUCUCUAGACCUGUUCCAAAGAGGAGCUUUCUACCUCGAUGUUGAAUUUAAUAUUACUUCAUAAAUAAACAUUAUACAAGUAGGUCUGUUCGACCUUUAAAAUAUUACAUGAU
This 390-nucleotide ribosomal RNA is filed under the name Loxosceles rufescens. RNAcentral describes it as "partial 16S ribosomal RNA". It matches the Rfam family "Archaeal large subunit ribosomal RNA", at positions 2007 to 2673 of the family's 2987-position model. The record is from RNAcentral. Lineage: Eukaryota; Metazoa; Arthropoda; Arachnida; Araneae; Sicariidae.